GCCCGCUCAGAAACUCAAGGAAUUGACGGGGGCCCGCACAAGCAGCGGAGCGUGUGGUUAAUUCGAUGCUACACGAAGAACCUUACCGGGUUGACAUGCAAGUGGUAGUGAUCCGAAAGGUGAACGACCCGCAAGGGAGCUUGCACAGGUGUUGCAUGGCUGUCGUCAGCUUGUGUCGUGAGAUGUUCGGUUAAGUCCGCUAACGAGCGCAACCCUCGCUGUAUGUUACAUGUGUCAUACAGGACCGCCGGUAUCAAGCCGGAGGAAGGUGGGGAUGACGUCAAGUCCGCAUGGCCUUUAUGUCCGGGGCUACACACACGCUACAAUGGUCGGUACAAUGGGUUGCUAAGCCGCGAGGUGGAGCCAAUCCCCAAAGCCGGCCUCAGUUCAGAUUGCAGGCUGCAACUCGCCUGCAUGAAGCUGGAGUUGCUAGUAAACGCGCGUCAGCUAUAGUGCGUUGAAUACGUUCUCGGGCCUU
Molecule: ribosomal RNA, 478 nt
Filed under: uncultured Anaerolineaceae bacterium
Lineage: Bacteria; Bacillati; Chloroflexota; Anaerolineae; Anaerolineales; Anaerolineaceae
Description: bacterial SSU rRNA
Rfam family: Bacterial small subunit ribosomal RNA
Source: RNAcentral